GCCUUCGUGGUGUAAUGGUCAAGCACACUUGGUAUGUAUUCAAGAGGUCCGUGGUUUGAAUCUUGAUGAGGGCA
Molecule: transfer RNA, 74 nt
Filed under: Stegodyphus mimosarum
Lineage: Eukaryota; Metazoa; Arthropoda; Arachnida; Araneae; Eresidae
Rfam family: tRNA
About the family: Transfer RNA (tRNA) molecules are approximately 80 nucleotides in length.
Source: Rfam by way of RNAcentral